This 647-nucleotide small RNA is filed under the name Histoplasma capsulatum. Its description in RNAcentral is "hypothetical RNA". The record is from RNAcentral. Lineage: Eukaryota; Fungi; Ascomycota; Eurotiomycetes; Onygenales; Ajellomycetaceae. RNAcentral also lists the same sequence under 1 other name.
CUUGCACUUGGGAAGUAUAUCCUUCGAUUCUGCCAGCCGUGCCAUCAUAGCGAUAUGCAGGCACAUGUCCCAGGUUCAAGCUCAUCGCAUCAAGCCACCACUAGCCUGGGCAAGCUUUUCAUUCUCCGCUGGCUUUUCUCAGUUAUGGCUGACUGGUUUGUUUUGAUCGCACUCCUUGCCAUUUAUGUAUGAGAAUAUCACUCACUACCUUGUGUGCAUUUACCUCAUGGGAAGCGAAGCGAAGUGCUGCAAAGCUCAGACUAGCGACAAAGAUUAUGAGAAUGCUGUUAUGAAUGUCUCUGAACAUUUGACAGCUAUUGAGUUCAUGGGAGAACUACAGUUGAUUGGAGUAGGUUGAGAGUUGGUUCAAUGAUAACCUGAGUUCUUAAUGCGAUUGCGUUGUGGGAACAGGCCGUUUCUUUACUUCCAUGACCUUGCACGGCGCGCGGGACAGAAAGGGAGAGCAUGGACUAUGUUGAUAAUACACUGACGAAUCACAUCUUUACAUGUCGUUCGAAUAUCCUGCUUGAUGUCUAACAUCUGCUGUGAACCUGUUGUAUUAUUGCUGCGCCUAUCCAUUGGGAAUGUUUUCCCUGCGUUAGUUUACAGAAAGAAGAGAAGAUAAAUUCAGCACUCAACAAUAUUAG